CACUCAUACUGUGAAACUGCGAAUGGCUCAUUAAAUCAGUUAUCGUUUAUUUGAUAGUACCUUACUACAUGGAUACCCGUGGUAAUUCUAGAGCUAAUACAUGCUUAAAACCCCGACUUCGGGAGGGGUGUGUUUAUUAGAUAAAAAACCGACGCCCUCCGGGGCUGCUUGGUGAUUCAUGAUAACCAAACGAAUCGCAUGGCCUUGAGCCGGCGAUGGUUCAUUCAAAUUUCUGCCCUAUCAACUUUCGAUGGUAGGAUCUGGGCCUACCAUGGUAUCAACGGGUAACGGGGAAUUAGGGUUCGAUUCCGGAGAGGGAGCCUGAGAAACGUACGUACACCCCCCCUCUUUUCUUUCCUUUCCACCGCUAACAUCUUUCGCAGGGCUACCACAUCCAAGGAAGGCAGCAGGCGCGCAAAUUACCCAAUCCCGACGCGGGGAGGUAGUGACAAUAAAUACUGAUACAGGGCUCUUUAGGGUCUUGUAAUUGGAAUGAGUACAAUUUAAACCCCUUAACGAGGAACAAUUGGAGGGCAAGUCUGGUGGACCGUUCAGUCUCGAGAUGCUGACGCCAGAGAUAGUGGGGCCCCCCGCAGGUUGGCUGCGGCGGGGGGUUACGCCCGCUAGUCGAGCGCCCACGGCAGCGGUGGGUGGGCGCCGGCGAGGUGACCUGGUACGGGGAAGCCUAAGGGCCCGCGGGCCUACGGUGAUCCCGUGGCGAGCCUCCCCCCCGAGCGGGUGGGUGGGAGGCCGUCGUAACGCGCGGAAAGGCACCGGCCGCCAGCCUUCGCUGGCGGCUCGAGGGACGUGCUGACCCAUCCGAAAGGAUGCCCCCGGCUGGAGCGCCCACCGCGCGAAGGCCGGGGGGGACGGGACCCCCCGUCCGGACGAGGAAUCGGCCAGCAGCCGCGGUAAUUCCAGCUCCAAUAGCGUAUAUUAAAGUUGUUGCAGUUAAAAAGCUCGUAGUUGAACCUUGGGUCAGGCUAGCCGGUCCGCCUUACCGCGUGCACUGGUUCGGCCGGACCCUUUCCUCUGGCAAACCGCAUGCCCUUCGCUGGGCGUGCCGGGGAACCAGGACUUUUACUUUGAAAAAAUUAGAGUGUUCAAAGCAGGCCUUUGCUCGGAUACAUUAGCAUGGAAUAAUGGAAUAGGACGCGUGGUUCUAUUUUGUUGGUUUCUAGAACCGCCGUAAUGAUUAAUAGGGACAGUCGGGGGCAUCAGUAUUCAGACGCGAGAGGUGAAAUUCUUAGACCGUCUGAAGACUAACUACUGCGAAAGCAUUUGCCAAGGAUGUUUUCAUUAAUCAGUGAACGAAAGUUGGGGGAUCGAAGACGAUCAGAUACCGUCGUAGUCUCAACCGUAAACUAUGCCGACUAGGGAUCGGGCGACGUUCCAAUCAUGACUCGCCCGGCACCUUACGAGAAAUCAAAGUCU
This 1434-nucleotide ribosomal RNA is filed under the name Muyocopron sp. MFLU (CC) 10-0042. Its description in RNAcentral is "partial 18S small subunit ribosomal RNA". It matches the Rfam family "Eukaryotic small subunit ribosomal RNA", at positions 71 to 1106 of the family's 1831-position model. Lineage: Eukaryota; Fungi; Ascomycota; Dothideomycetes; Muyocopronales; Muyocopronaceae. The record is from RNAcentral.